GUCGUCAGCUCGUGUCGUGAGAUUGUUGGGUUAAGUCCCGCAACGAGCGCAACCCCUAUUGUUAGUUGCCAUCAUUCAGUUGGGCACUCUAGCGAGACUGCCGGUAAUAACCGGAGGAAGUGGGAUGACGUCAAAUCAUCAUGCCCCUUAUGACCUGGGCUACACACGUGCUACAAUGGUUGGUACAACGAGUUGCGAGUCGGUGACGGCGAGCUAAUCUCUUAAAGCCAAUCUCAGUUCGGAUUGUAGGCUGCAACUCGCCUACAUGAAGUCGGAAUCGCUAGUAAUCGCGGAUCAGCACGCCGCGGUGAAUACGUUCCCGGGCCUU
Molecule: ribosomal RNA, 328 nt
Filed under: uncultured Streptococcus sp.
Lineage: Bacteria; Bacillati; Bacillota; Bacilli; Lactobacillales; Streptococcaceae
Description: bacterial SSU rRNA
Rfam family: Bacterial small subunit ribosomal RNA
Source: RNAcentral